Molecule: small nucleolar RNA, 147 nt
Organism: Perognathus longimembris pacificus (Pacific pocket mouse)
Lineage: Eukaryota; Metazoa; Chordata; Mammalia; Rodentia; Heteromyidae
Source: RefSeq, a predicted model, not a curated record
CUUCGAUGAAGAGGUGAUGACGAGUCUGACUGGGGAGUCAGCUUUGGCCAGACAGCCCCACGCUGUGCUGCGUUCUGUGGUGCAGCGUAAAGGGCUCUGGUGGAAGACGCUUCCUAAAGAUGACUUAGAGGCAUUUGUCUGAGAAGG